This 709-nucleotide ribosomal RNA is filed under the name uncultured Pseudomonadota bacterium. RNAcentral's name for it is "bacterial SSU rRNA". It matches the Rfam family "Bacterial small subunit ribosomal RNA", at positions 48 to 746 of the family's 1533-position model. The record is from RNAcentral. Lineage: Bacteria; Pseudomonadati; Pseudomonadota.
CUAACACAUGCAAGUCGAACGGUAACAGGAAGAAGCUUGCUUCUUUGCUGACGAGUGGCGGACGGGUGAGUAAUGUCUGGGAAACUGCCUGAUGGAGGGGGAUAACUACUGGAAACGGUAGCUAAUACCGCAUAACGUCGCAAGACCAAAAAGGGGGACCUUCGGGCCUCUUGCCAUCGGAUGUGCCCAGAUGGGAUUAGCUAGUAGGUGGGGUAACGGCUCACCUAGGCGACGAUCCCUAGCUGGUCUGAGAGGAUGACCAGCCACACUGGAACUGAGACACGGUCCAGACUCCUACGGGAGGCAGCAGUGGGGAAUAUUGCACAAUGGGCGCAAGCCUGAUGCAGCCAUGCCGCGUGUAUGAAGAAGGCCUUCGGGUUGUAAAGUACUUUCAGCGGGGAGGAAGGGAGUAAAGUUAAUACCUUUGCUCAUUGACGUUACCCGCAGAAGAAGCACCGGCUAACUCCGUGCCAGCAGCCGCGGUAAUACGGAGGGUGCAAGCGUUAAUCGGAAUUACUGGGCGUAAAGCGCACGCAGGCGGUUUGUUAAGUCAGAUGUGAAAUCCCCGGGCUCAACCUGGGAACUGCAUCUGAUACUGGCAAGCUUGAGUCUCGUAGAGGGGGGUAGAAUUCCAGGUGUAGCGGUGAAAUGCGUAGACAUCUGGAGGAAUACCGGUGGCGAAGGCGGCCCCCUGGACGAAGACUGACGC